UGACCUGUCGACAACGCAGUUCAUGUAAACCAUUUCGGCAUCGGGUCGCAUUCGUAAAACUCGUCUUGGACGUUUCCUAUUAUAGACUAAACGCACCUACCACAGUGUAGUAAUAUAUGGGGUCCGCUAUCCUAAGAAAAGGCUUGUGGGUACUGAUCUCUUGCAUCCUGAAUGCGGAGCUAAACACUUCGCAAGAUUUGGAGGGCAUCUUCCAAGACUAUGGCAGCAAGAAAACUCAACGAUUCCCAGUUUACCAUAAAGUAAAGGG
Molecule: non-coding RNA, 268 nt
Organism: Pocillopora verrucosa
Lineage: Eukaryota; Metazoa; Cnidaria; Anthozoa; Scleractinia; Pocilloporidae
Source: RefSeq, a predicted model, not a curated record